Non-coding RNA from Vicia faba (fava bean), 411 nucleotides. The record is from the annotation of a GenBank genome assembly. NCBI's taxonomy places the organism in Eukaryota, Viridiplantae, Streptophyta, Magnoliopsida, Fabales, Fabaceae.
AGUGACAAGAGUUGGUGGAAACGUGGAGGUGGAAGAUGUAAAUUAGAAGAAACAAGACAACAAAAAGGACAAGAACGUAAAUACACGAAAGACAUUCAUCAUAUAUUUAAUAAACAAAAAAACAUCAUCUCAUGCCAUGUUUCUCGAUAUCCGAGCUUGCUCUUCUCACUUCUAUUCUCUUCUAUUCUCUCCCUUUAUUCCUUCUCUCUUCUCUUCAUUCUCUCUUUCAUACUGAUGCAGAUUCUUCAAAACAACACAGAAACUAAGACUAAGACUAAGACAACUUCACUUUCUACUCUAACCUCGUUAUUCCUUCCUUCUACCUUAAGCUCCAUUUCAAACUUAUCUUGUUCAAAAAGUGAAACCUCUAUAACCUUAACAUUUUCUCUUUCUCUUUCUCUUUCACUAUAA